UCAAACGGUGCAUAAUUAGGGAUGGAGAGCAUUUCACGCUUUAUAAAGUCCGUAUUGAAUUCGGGUGGAGCAUUGCUUGGUGGAGCAAUAGGUUUUCGAGCAGCCUUCUUAGCUAAUAAUCAGUUAAUAAAAUUGAGCAACAAAAAAUUAAACAAAGGAGUAGAGAUUCGGUCUUAAAAAAAGUUUCACAACAACCUUCUUAU
Non-coding RNA from Schizosaccharomyces pombe (fission yeast), 203 nucleotides. Lineage: Eukaryota; Fungi; Ascomycota; Schizosaccharomycetes; Schizosaccharomycetales; Schizosaccharomycetaceae. The record is from the annotation of a GenBank genome assembly.